AGUGAACGCUGGCGGUAGGCCUAACACAUGCAAGUCGAACGGCAGCACAGUAAGAGCUUGCUCUUACGGGUGGCGAGUGGCGGACGGGGGAGGAAUACAUCGGGAUCUACUUUUUCGUGGGGGAUAAAGUAGGGAAACUUACGCUAAUACCGCAUACGACCUACGGGUGAAAGCAGGGGAUCUUCGGACCUUGCGCGAUUGAAUGAGCCGAUGUCGGAUUAGCUAGUUGGCGGGGUAAAGGCCCACCAAGGCGACGAUCCGUAGCUGGUCUGAGGGGAUGUACAGGCACACUGGGAGUGAGACACGGUCCUGGCUCCUACGGGCGGCACCAGUGGGGACUGGUGGAAGAUGGGCGGAAGACUGAACCAUCCAUACCGGGUGGGUGAAGCAAGCCUUCGGGUUGUAUAACCCUUUUGUUGGGGAAGAAAAGCAGCAGGAUAAUACCCGGCUGUUCUGACGGUACCCGAAGAAUAAGCACCGGCUAACUUCGUG
RNAcentral lists this ribosomal RNA (492 nucleotides) under uncultured bacterium. RNAcentral's name for it is "partial 16S ribosomal RNA". It matches the Rfam family "Bacterial small subunit ribosomal RNA", at positions 29 to 507 of the family's 1533-position model. The record is from RNAcentral.